UACGGAAGGUGCGAGCGUUAAUCGGAAUUACUGGGCGUAAAGCGCACGUAGGUGGUUUUAUAAGUCGGAUGUGAAAGCCCCGGGCUUAACCUGGGAAUUGCAUCUGAUACUGUCUGACUAGAGUAUGCUAGAGGGAAGUGGAAUUCCCGGUGUAGUGGUGAAAUGCGUAGAGAUCGGGAGGAACACCCGUGGCGAAGGCGGCCACCUGGGCCGACCCUGACGCUGAGGCGCGAAGGCGUGGGGAGCGAACGGG
RNAcentral lists this ribosomal RNA (253 nucleotides) under uncultured bacterium. Its description in RNAcentral is "partial 16S ribosomal RNA". It matches the Rfam family "Bacterial small subunit ribosomal RNA", at positions 524 to 776 of the family's 1533-position model. The record is from RNAcentral.